AGGGUGUAAACGCUGCAGACUUGGUGUUGGAAGUCCUUUGGGGGGCAUUCAGUGCCGGAGAGAAGUUGUUAAGUCUGCUACUUGGGGAGUACGUCCGCAAGGAUGAAACUUAAAGGAAUUGGCGGGGGAGGCACCGCAACGGGAGGAGCGUGCGGUUUAAUUGGAUUCAACACCGUAAAGCUCACCAGGGAAGACUGUUACAUGAAAGCCGAGAUGAAGACUCUGCUAGAUUUUCAGAGAGGUGGUGCAUGGCGUCAGUGACU
RNAcentral lists this ribosomal RNA (263 nucleotides) under uncultured archaeon. Its description in RNAcentral is "partial 16S ribosomal RNA". It matches the Rfam family "Archaeal small subunit ribosomal RNA", at positions 748 to 1008 of the family's 1478-position model. The record is from RNAcentral.